AUGGCAAUGAGGCCGCUUGUCGUCCUGGCCCUGGCCGUGGCGCUCGCCGGCGUGGCACUGGGAGGGGGCGCGGCGGAGGGGGCCGGCGAGUGCGGGAGGUCCUCCCCCGACCGGAUGGCCCUGCGCAUGGCCCCGUGCAUCUCGGCGGCGGACGAGCCGGACUCGGCGCCGUCGAGCAGCUGCUGCUCGGCGGUGCACACCAUCGGCAAGAGCCCCAGCUGCCUGUGCGCCGUCAUGCUGUCCGGCACCGCCAAGAUGGCCGGGAUCAAGCCCGAGGUCGCCAUCACCAUCCCCAAGCGCUGCAACAUGGCCGACCGCCCCGUCGGCUACAAGUGCGGAG
This 340-nucleotide ribosomal RNA is filed under the name Triticum aestivum (bread wheat). RNAcentral's name for it is "partial small subunit ribosomal RNA". Lineage: Eukaryota; Viridiplantae; Streptophyta; Magnoliopsida; Poales; Poaceae. The record is from RNAcentral.